Molecule: non-coding RNA, 30 nt
Filed under: Rattus norvegicus (Norway rat)
Lineage: Eukaryota; Metazoa; Chordata; Mammalia; Rodentia; Muridae
Source: RNAcentral
UNGCCUUAUGAUCAUAGAGAUACACUAGGC